CGUAGGGUGCAAGCGUUAAUCGGAAUUACUGGGCGUAAAGCGUGCGCAGGCGGUCGUGCAAGACAGGUGUGAAAUCCCCGGGCUUAACCUGGGAACUGCAUUUGUGACUGCACGGCUGGAGUGCGGCAGAGGGGGAUGGAAUUCCGCGUGUAGCAGUGAAAUGCGUAGAUAUGCGGAGGAACACCGAUGGCGAAGGCAAUCCCCUGGGCCUGCACUGACGCUCAUGCACGAAAGCGUGGGGAGCAAACAGGAUUAGAUACCCUGGUAGUCCACGCCCUAAACGAUGUCAACUGGUUGUUGGGAAGGUUCCCUCUCAGUAACGAAGCUAACGCGUGAAGUUGACCGCCUGGGGAGUACGGCCGCAAGGUUG
RNAcentral lists this ribosomal RNA (370 nucleotides) under uncultured organism. Its description in RNAcentral is "bacterial SSU rRNA". It matches the Rfam family "Bacterial small subunit ribosomal RNA", at positions 526 to 896 of the family's 1533-position model. The record is from RNAcentral.